UUUUCUUUUUCUUUCUUUUCUUUCUUCUUCCUCUGCCUUCUCCCGCGCGACACCCCCCUCUCCCUCUCUCUCCCCGUGCGUUUCUUCUCCUCCACCACCCAGCCACCGCCGCGCGCCGCCGUGACUGACCCCGCCCCGCCCAUUCGCUCCCCCACCUACCGGCGACCCCUCCCCUCCGAUUUCAGCUCCUCCAGUACAGCCGUUUCCUCCCACGCACGACGCAAGGCCGCGGCACCUCUUGUGUUCGCGCGCCGCCGUCGUGCACCUCCGGCCACAAUUUCUUCACCACUUCAUCCUUGACCUCCUAGCAACCCAAUGGACCCAACCCCAGCUCCGAUCCGUCACCGGUGAAGCACAUCCAAUCCCAUUUUCGAUUUGGGUAUUUUUGGUCUUCAACCACCCUCUACGCCGUCACCCACGGCCAACCACCACCACUACUAGCUUCACCGAUAUCCCUAAGUCCUACCCUAUCAAUCUCGGGUCUUGGUUUGUCCCCAUUCAAAAGUGAGUUUUUAAGACCCACGGCUACAGUGCAUUUUGCAUUGUUACGUUGCUGAGCCGCCACUUCUUGCACCUCCGUGAUCUUCCGAAAAUUAUUAUAUAGUGCUUAACGCAAUGAGCUCCUCUUCUGCUGCUGCUGCUGCUGCUUCAUCAACUUCUUCUCAACUCGCUUCCUCCAAAGACAAAUUUUUCUGGGGCUGCCUUUUCGUCGCAAUCGGCUCUGUCUUCUUUGUCAGUUUUCUCUUUGCAGCCGUUGUGUCCAAGCUCCUUCCCCCAUCCAAUAACGCCCUGAUCUCCGCCAUUCAAAACGACUGGUAUUACUGCUUCUUAGUGCCUCUGACUCUCCCUGUUCUUGUGGUUGCUGUAUAUUUUCAUUGGCUCAGUAUGAAAUUGUUCAAGCACGCAUGAUUUUUGCUUGAAGCCAUCAGGGAGUUCAACCUCUUCUGUAUAAGAUGCCAUGCUGUUUCUUUUGCAUGUAUGAGAGCUCCCAAACAUUUUAGCAGACAAAUCUUAUUUCUAAACUUUCCUUUCCUGGGCACAUUAACAUUGCAAAAGGAGGAUUUGAAGUUCGAUGAUUCGAUCCCUUGACAAUAGAAGCAUAGAUAUCCUGAUUUUGAAGGCAUCCAAAAGAAUAAUUGCAAAACAAUUUGUUCUGCACAGUAGCUAGAUGACAUUACAUACACUGAUACAAGUGAAUAAAGUGAGAGAUUGUUCAGCGUGUGGGUUUCAUGCUUGCAAAAGCAGAUGUAAAAAUUGUUUAUCUGUGGUUGGAGGGUAGAUUUGGGCAAUAAUUCUGCUUGUAGAGCAGUCGAUUGGUCUAUGUUCAAACUUCCACCAGAAAGCCUUCAAUGAGUCAUGUACUGUUGGACUGGAGUGCUGAAGGGCCGAAGGCAAUGAGACUGAAUGACAGAGACUCAAAUAGAACACAGCAAUCGAGGAUCCAAAAGACAAUAAAACAAAACAUGAGAAGUGGUUUUAAGAACCCAAGGUGCAUUUUUCUUUUCUUCUUUUUUUAAAUGCUGGUGUCUGUAUAUGGACAUUGUUCUUUUUCAAAAUAAAACAUGAGUUAAUUUGGAAUGCA
Molecule: long non-coding RNA, 1582 nt
Organism: Juglans regia (Persian walnut)
Lineage: Eukaryota; Viridiplantae; Streptophyta; Magnoliopsida; Fagales; Juglandaceae
Exons: 4
Source: RefSeq, a predicted model, not a curated record